This is a small nucleolar RNA of Pongo abelii (Sumatran orangutan), 99 nucleotides long. Lineage: Eukaryota; Metazoa; Chordata; Mammalia; Primates; Hominidae. The record is from Ensembl.
AGCCUUGGAAUCUGACUCAAACAAUAGGUUUUCAUAUUUAUGUGUGAGAUGUGCCUCUUUCAAACCUUGUUACAACUUUGGCACAUUACCCAUCUGAUG